UUUUAUUUAGUGGAUUAGUGGAAUUCUUGAAGCUUGAUGCCUGAACUGCAGAUCUUCUGAUUCUAAAGUGAUUGAUGGUGCUAAUCAGUAAAUGGCAAACGGAAGAGGCAAGGGGAAUUGAUGUACGCAUAUGAUUUUUUUCUUUGGCCAGGCUACAGUGGUAUUGUCCGGUGAUGCACAAAUUUUUCUACUUCUACAGAAAGAUGCUCUACACUCAGAUUUGGCUAAGCUUUGUGCGAAGAAGAAUUAUCACUCCUCUAUAAUCCAAAUCCUGGUCCGUCUUUAAAUUUCUUUCUUGAUCUCAUGCUGGAUGUCUCUUCAUGUAGACCUGUAUCUUGCGUAGGAUUUAAAGGCAUCAAAGUUGGAACCUCGGAUAGCUCUGGAGACUUUAAUGAUUGGAUCCCCUCUCUGAUUAGAGUAGAGUAA
Papaver somniferum (opium poppy) is the source of this 426-nucleotide long non-coding RNA. RefSeq lists it as uncharacterized. The record is from RefSeq and is a predicted model, not a curated record. NCBI's taxonomy places the organism in Eukaryota, Viridiplantae, Streptophyta, Magnoliopsida, Ranunculales, Papaveraceae. The transcript is spliced from 3 exons.